Molecule: transfer RNA, 70 nt
Filed under: Pangasianodon hypophthalmus (striped catfish)
Lineage: Eukaryota; Metazoa; Chordata; Actinopteri; Siluriformes; Pangasiidae
Description: tRNA-Cys
Source: RNAcentral
GUUGUGGUGGCUCAGUGGUUAAAGUUUCAUAUCACAGAUAAGAUGUUUAUGUGUUCAAAUCCCAGCACCA